UUUUUACAAAUGUUCCUUAGUGGAACUCGGGAAAGUUUCUAUUAAAAAGAGGGGCCUCGCGCUUCCUUGAGGGACUCCGGUCCCUGCCUCUUUCACCCGGUGAUUACCUUACCUUUUGUUGCCUUGGCGGGAAAGGUUCCCCCGACCGCCCCGCCAGGCAGCCCACCGAAACUCGUUUUCUCCAUGGCCGUCUGACCACCAUUUCAUAAUGAAUCAAAACUUUCAACAACGGAUCUCUUGGUUGCUGGCAUCGAUGAAGAAACGCAGCGAAAUGCGGAUAGAGUAAUGUGAAUUGCAGAAUUUCAGUGAAUCAUCGAAUCUUUGAACGCACAUUGCGCCCCUCGGUAUUCCGGGGGGGAUGCCUGUUCGAGCGUCAUUGCACUAUUCAAGCGUAGCUUGGUAUUGGGGUCCCUUCGCCCGGGGUCCCCGCGGCGGGGCCCGAAAAGCUAUUGGCGGUCCGGUGUGACUUUGAAGCGGUAGUGAAUUUUCUCCCGCUUUGAAUAGGCUCGCGCCGUGGGCGCGAUCGCAGAAAACCCCCACAUAUUCUCCGUUGCCUCGGAAUGGUGGGUCCCCUGACUUUAGCUUUCCUGGGCCG
Molecule: ribosomal RNA, 595 nt
Filed under: Ramalina polymorpha
Lineage: Eukaryota; Fungi; Ascomycota; Lecanoromycetes; Lecanorales; Ramalinaceae
Description: eukaryotic LSU rRNA
Rfam family: 5.8S ribosomal RNA (bases 218-376)
Source: RNAcentral